This 426-nucleotide ribosomal RNA is filed under the name uncultured bacterium. RNAcentral's name for it is "bacterial SSU rRNA". It matches the Rfam family "Bacterial small subunit ribosomal RNA", at positions 356 to 774 of the family's 1533-position model. The record is from RNAcentral.
UGGGAAUUUUGGACAAUGGGCGGAAGCCUGAUCCAGCCAUGCCGCGUGCGGGAAGAAGGCCUUCGGGUUGUAAACUGCUUUUGUACGGAGCGAAAAGGUCUGCCCUAAUACGGUGGGCUCAUGACGGUACCGUAAGAAUAAGCACCGGCUAACUACGUGCCAGCAGCCGCGGUAAUACGUAGGGUGCGAGCGUUAAUCGGAAUUACUGGGCGUAAAGCGUGCGCAGGCGGUUAUAUAAGACAGAUGUGAAAUCCCCGGGCUCAACCUGGGAACUGCCUUUGUGACUGCAUAGCUAGAGUACGGUAGAGGGGGAUGGAAUUCCGCGUGUAGCAGUGAAAUGCGUAGAUAUGCGGAGGAACACCGAUGGCGAAGGCAAUCCCCUGGACCUGUACUGACGCUCAUGCACGAAAGCGUGGGGAGCAAACA